GCUCCCCCAGUCCCUAAUUUCCCCAAAACCAUCUGCCUUGAAACAUCCAGCCCUCUCCUGUAAGAUUCGGAGGCGUAAUAAGGUCCAUUGCUCCUUAGAGACAAAAGCACGGCAGCUUGUUGCUUUAACUGGAGUUAACAAUCCCUUCAAUUCAAAUACAGCGCUGGGUUGGUUUAGAUUAAAGGUAAAACAAGUUUAUUAACAAAAAGAGAGGUUUUAAGUGAGUUCGAGCACAAGGGGAAAAGAGAAUGGUUACAAGAAAACAAAAGUAAAUUAUGCUUUCUCGUGUCUCAGCCUUAAUCAGCUGCAGCCUUGGUUCAAGAUAGAUUUCUUACCAACCUUUCUUUGCAGCCACAUCUGACUUUCUCUGAGUCAAGAUCUUCCCCAAAGUAGAAAGUGCUGGUUCUCUUUGUCAUUUUAGGUGAGAGAUCUUUGCAGGUUUGUCCCUAUAUUCAGUUCCCAGAAACUUCAACCCCCCAGGUGGAAGAACCCAUCUUUCUCAGUUUGCAAAGCUGUGGUCCCUUGUGUCUGUCCAGUGAUAGAGCCAGGAUGGCAGCUUCUGUCUCUUUAACCUUCCCAAACUCAGUAAUUCAUCCCCAGACUCAGACUGACCUCAGGCUGUUCUUCCCUUCCUGUGGACUGCCCAUCCCGCUGUUGAUUUGUAGGUAAAUAGGGUUUCCAUUGGUUUUGGUCACACCUAGCUUAAUUUCACUGGUGAUAGGUAGAUAGUUCCUUUUCUCCUUCUGGGAGGAGACGCCAUGUAGUCAGGUGAAGACUUCCUUCCAUGCUGGUGACAGUUGAGUCCUUACCUCCUCUCCUUCUUAGCUUGAUGCCUUUGUUUACCUUUUACGUAAGUGCACCUUCAUUGUCUCUGCCUGAAGCCCAGCUAUUCAGCCAAGCCGAUACACAUUCUAGGGCAGACUGGGCUUAUAUAUUGCUUGCCAAACAUUUUAAGAACAUAUUCUAGCACACAUCCAUAACUCUGUACACACCUUGUACACGCAUUACGCAAGGCCUGAGUUAUUAAUUUUCCAGUAAUUUGUUACAUACCACCUUUUGGGUAUAUAUAUCAUGACACCAGUUUGUAAAGUGUAGUGCGUAUGUCCAGCCUGACAAGUUGCUGACAGAGUAGUGAACCUCAAAUGGGUGUCUCUGUCACAAUGGGGUUGCAAUAUCACUCUGCCAAAAACACCUGCCACAAGUAUCCUGUUUAAAGAUAACGAGCACCACGGUAAUAGAGUUCCCUGACAACAAAUAUAGAAGGUGUCUUUUGGGGAUCAGAAGUAAAUUCUAGAGCUAUGACUGAUACAUAUUUUCAUUUUUUAAAAUGCAGUACAUUUGAACCCAAAGAAAUCUCUCUAGAGAGAAAUUGAUAUUGAGCCCAUUACCUCCAUGUGAGAGAAAUGUCUCCACCAUUAUAACUACCACCCAAACAAGCCAUCGCAUGUAUGAACUCUAUCCACCUGAUGGUCUCUAAUCUUCCAUUCACAAGCUAGGAUCACAUGAACCAGCGUCAAUCAGUGAACGGAGACUGUCAUAAAUCAAGAAUGAUACCUUCCUCAUUAAGAGAUCAGAAUGGCAAACUACAGGUCUUUCAAUUUCUGUCCCAGCUCAGGAAAGAGCAGGAGGUUUCAUUCCACUUGAGACCUAGUCCUAAUCCACCCAAACAAGAACACACGCAGCUUUAUCUAAUGAAUUCCAUGCAGCCAUGUUCUGAUAUCUUGUCAUUGCUAUUUACCACAUCUGUAAUGUUCUCAAAAGGUGACCACUAUGUAAUUAGGGUUAUAAACAGUUUUGCAAUCUCAUUUGAAUAAAAAAUUUCAUGCUCUGGGGCAUAAGCCAAUUUCUGACUGAUGGGGGUUAGGAAGAAGCCUAUGGUGGCUCCUGGCUUUGACCAGGAAUAGCUAACGCGUUUUAAUCAUGACUUGCCUCAGUCUGUGUUAGGUACUAAAAUGUGCUUAACACUGUGUUAGUGAACAUGUUUUCCAAGACAAUCCCAGUGUGGACAGGGCCUGAGUUGAUGGGAGAGAGUUUUAACUGAAUAUUUGUUCAGUUUGUUUUUGUAGGAUUUAAAAUGUGUCCAUGUGUUCAGAGCCAUGAAGGGGCGUGUUUCAGAUAAAUCUAAAUAAAGAAUACAAAGGAGCUGAGGGGCUGUGCAAAACUGGAAAGAGGCAAACACCAGAGUUAUUCAUCCAUAGCAAGGCAGACUCUAUAGACCAGGGUUUCUCAACCAAUGGAUUGGGACCCAAAAUUGGGUUGCCAGAACAUUUCGAAGAGUUGCGUGGCAGCUCCUGUCUUGCAGGGCUGGCUGGGCUCACUUCACUGCUGCAGGGCACUGCAACCUCAGGGGUCCCAGCGCCACUCAGGUUUGGCCCAGCCGUCAUGAUGACAGGAGUUAGGAUAGGCAAAAUUUGAGUGAGUGACCCUGCAACGCCAUGAGGCAGGUCAUAACUCCACUCGCACAAAUUUGAUCCAGUCGGGGGGCAGGGCCAAACCUGAGCGGUGCUGCAACCCCAGAGGUUGCAAUGCCCAGAGCGGAGAGUCAAGCCCAGCCAGCCCCAAAAGAAAGGAGUUGCCACUGUGGGGUGAGUGAGUGCCAGGCAGGACCCAACUCCCCUGACGGCUAGGACCCCACCCCAAGACUUAUUAACUGGGUUGUGGUAGGCCAUAAAUAUUUACAAAUGGGUCCUGAGUCCAAAAAGAUUGAGAACCACUGCUAUAGAAAGCUGGACUCUCGCCUCAGGGAAAUGGUGGAAUCCCCAUUGGUCCUGAUCCUGUAACAUGCAUGUUAAGUAGUAUUACUCAAGCAAAUAGUCCCACUGAAUGCAAUGGGGCCACUCCUGCGAGUAAUGCUACUCAUUUGUGUGUUUGGCUCAUAGCUAGUCAUGUAACAGCAGACUGGAAAAAACAGGGGAGAACAUCCUGUAGGAAGCUAUCCUGUCCUGGUAGGAGUGGAUGGACAAACUAAUCUUUCAUGGUGAUUCUAUCACUCGGUGCAAUCUUCUGGCCAGAUGUGAUGAAGUGGGAAUGUUUUGUCUGAACACUGUGUGUAUGCCUCAGUUUCCCCUGUGUGUUACUCAAGUAUCUAGGUGGUGGGACAAGGGUGUGUGAUCAUUGCAGAGACCCCAAGAGGGCAGGUGUGAUCGCUGUCUGGCUGCCUGGGCACAGACAAUAGCCGACACUGUAUCCUGGCAGCUGAUGUCUCGGGCCCAUCCUCUGCAAGGAUCAGCUGGAGGUGUUGAACGUGCAGGCCAGGUGACCUAUUUGCUGGGGAAAGAGACAAAGGAUAGAGGCAGGGCAGGGGUCAUGACUAAGGCUAGGCUGCUGGAAGCUGGUCAGUCUCCUGGUUUGGGACUCAGGGGCAGAGCUCUGGGCUCUGGAUUCCCCACUUACAGCAAAGUCCAUCUUGGAUGGAACUUCCUUCUUUCUGUGCUAACAAGAUCUGUUCUGCAUUGUGUUCCCGGUGGCUAAUAAACCAUUCUGUGUUACA
Molecule: non-coding RNA, 3490 nt
Organism: Chelonoidis abingdonii (Abingdon island giant tortoise)
Lineage: Eukaryota; Metazoa; Chordata; Testudines; Testudinidae
Source: RefSeq, a predicted model, not a curated record